UGGUGGAGCGAUUUGUCUGGUUAAUUCCGAUAACGAACGAGACUCUAGCCUGCUAAAUAGUCUGUAGAUCUCAUUGUCUGCAGUACUUCUUAGAGGGACAAGCGGCUUUUAGCCGCACGAAAAUGAGCAAUAACA
Molecule: ribosomal RNA, 135 nt
Filed under: uncultured eukaryote
Lineage: Eukaryota
Description: partial 18S ribosomal RNA
Rfam family: Eukaryotic small subunit ribosomal RNA
Source: RNAcentral